This 300-nucleotide ribosomal RNA is filed under the name uncultured bacterium. Its description in RNAcentral is "bacterial SSU rRNA". It matches the Rfam family "Bacterial small subunit ribosomal RNA", at positions 497 to 795 of the family's 1533-position model. The record is from RNAcentral.
UUUUAUUGGUGGCAAGUGACCGGGGUAAUACGGGAGCGGCGAGCUGUAAUCGGAAUUACUGUGCUGACAGCGCUGGUUGGCGGCUAUGUAAGUCAGAGUGGAAGUCCCCGGGUGCAACCUGGGAAUUGCAUCGGAUACUGGGUAGCUAGAAUGAGGUAGAGGGGUGGGGAAUUCCAGGUGUAGCGGUGAAAUGCCUAGAUAUCUGGAGGAACACCAGUGUCGAAGGCGGCCCCCUUGACUGACAUUGACGCUGAGGUGCGAAAGCGUGGGGAUCAAACAGGAUUAGAUACCCUGGUAGUC